Molecule: ribosomal RNA, 819 nt
Filed under: Domibacillus iocasae
Lineage: Bacteria; Bacillati; Bacillota; Bacilli; Caryophanales; Bacillaceae
Description: bacterial SSU rRNA
Rfam family: Bacterial small subunit ribosomal RNA
Source: RNAcentral
CGGCGGACGGGUGAGUAACACGUGGGCAACCUGCCCUGCAGAUUGGGAUAACUCCGGGAAACCGGGGCUAAUACCGAAUAACAUUGAAAACCUCAUGGUUUUCUUUUAAAAGGCGGCUUCGGCUGUCACUGCAGGAUGGGCCCGCGGCGCAUUAGCUAGUUGGUGAGGUAACGGCUCACCAAGGCGACGAUGCGUAGCCGACCUGAGAGGGUGAUCGGCCACACUGGGACUGAGACACGGCCCAGACUCCUACGGGAGGCAGCAGUAGGGAAUCUUCCGCAAUGGACGAAAGUCUGACGGAGCAACGCCGCGUGAGUGAAGAAGGUUUUCGGAUCGUAAAACUCUGUUGUUAGGGAAGAACAAGUAUCGGAGUAACUGCCGGUACCUUGACGGUACCUGACCAGAAAGCCACGGCUAACUACGUGCCAGCAGCCGCGGUAAUACGUAGGUGGCAAGCGUUGUCCGGAAUUAUUGGGCGUAAAGCGCGCGCAGGCGGCCUUUUAAGUCUGAUGUGAAAGCCCCCGGCUCAACCGGGGAGGGUCAUUGGAAACUGGAAGGCUUGAGUGCAGAAGAGAAGAGCGGAAUUCCACGUGUAGCGGUGAAAUGCGUAGAGAUGUGGAGGAACACCAGUGGCGAAGGCGGCUCUUUGGUCUGUAACUGACGCUGAGGCGCGAAAGCGUGGGGAGCGAACAGGAUUAGAUACCCUGGUAGUCCACGCCGUAAACGAUGAGUGCUAAGUGUUGGGGGGUUUCCGCCCCUCAGUGCUGCAGCUAACGCAUUAAGCACUCCGCCUGGGGGAGUACGGCCCGCAAGGCUGAA